AGACGCGUGCACGUACCCAGUCGCACACCGGCUCCUUUUGCGACUGUGUGCGUGUACGUGUGGGUGUCGACAUCACCGUUAUUUGAGGAGAGACACGGCACUCGCAUCGCGCCUUCGGUCGCCACUACUCCCCCCUCCCCUCCGCCUCGCUCUCUCUCUCUCGCUUGUGGACGAGGCAGCGGGGCAGGGCAGGGCGGUGCGUCCUCGUGUACGGCGGACUCCAGACGUUUCGUUUUUGCACAAAAAACUCAGAGCUGAAAGGAGAGGUAAAAGACAAGAAUGGGAAUCCUGACAGAUAAGAAGAGCAGCCACACACACACACACACACACACAAAGGAAACGCGCAGAGUCGGAUGGACGCACACAUGCAUGAUGCGUGCGCCCGUGUUUAUGCGCGAGACCGUGUGGCUCGGCAUGCUUAGCCUGGAGAGGGAGCGGGAAAGCGACUGCCUCUUCUGGUGUUUGGAGCGACGCUGGCUUCGCCACUUGGCCACCUGCACCAAUGGGCACUCCCUGUCUCUACUCCCCUGCCGAUGUUGGUGACUGACCACGGAUGGGCCCACGUGCAUGGGCAUGUGCAUGCGAGGUCAAUGGUUACAGCCUCUUGAUGGUAAUCCCACCGCAGCAAGACAUGACUGUCGUAUCGCGAGCGGCGGCAUUUGCAGUGCACGGCGGAGGCGAGCACAGUAUGGCCGGCGGCAAGAAAUGCUGAUGCGGCGACUGCCCCCCUUCCCUUCCCUUUGUUUCCUGUGUGCGUGCACGCUGUUGUGGUUGUUUUCUUGUUUGCCCUCCAUUUUUAUUGCCCUCUUCGCUCUGCUCCCUCUGUUGUCCCCCUCUUUGUUGCUCGGUGCUUGCUGUCCCUCGGGCGCCCCUCUAACCCGCAG
RNAcentral lists this unclassified non-coding RNA (884 nucleotides) under Leishmania donovani. RNAcentral's name for it is "gene:unknown". Lineage: Eukaryota; Euglenozoa; Kinetoplastea; Trypanosomatida; Trypanosomatidae. The record is from RNAcentral.